This is a long non-coding RNA of Chenopodium quinoa (quinoa), 605 nucleotides long. RefSeq lists it as uncharacterized. The record is from RefSeq and is a predicted model, not a curated record. NCBI's taxonomy places the organism in Eukaryota, Viridiplantae, Streptophyta, Magnoliopsida, Caryophyllales, Amaranthaceae. The transcript is spliced from 2 exons.
GUUGACUUGGCAAAUACAUUGGAGGGUUGAACCUUAUGAUUUGGGCUUUAACUAUUUUCAUUUGUGGACUGGGCCAAAUUGUUAGCAUUUUGAACCCCAAACAGAAAGUAAGUCAAAGUUUUAUCACAACUUUACAAAUAUUAACAAAUAUAAGCAAACCGACUCUAAUAUAUAACUCAACAUAUAAAUCUCAUCUCAAAAUAAAGGCUCAAACUUUUUACAAAACAUGGCAUUAAUCAGAGUCAUCUACAUUUGUAAAGGUUUGAAGUAUCUUAGCAUUUUCAUUGUUCUGUUUUUCCAUUCCUUAUUAUUUUCUCCUACAGACCCUUUGGCUUUUUGUUGGCUGUACGUUCAUUCUAUACUUGAUAGAAAGGAUUGACUGUGCACUUGAUGACUUCUUCUUGCCUAGUCAUGCCCCAGAUCAACUGGUGAAGGCGGCGAUCGCGAUUUAGCCGUUUAAUCAUCCGCUCAAAUACUAUGUAUGCAUCAUCCGAGUCCAUAAAUGUUUACUCGGGUUUAUUUUAUUUUUUGUAGUUUUUUUUUUUUAAUUUAUGUAUAUGUAAUGUAAUCUCUCAUAUAUGGGAAAUAAACCACCUUAAUUGCUA